GGGUUGUGAGGUUAAGCGACUAAGCGUACACGGUGGAUGCCCUGGCAGUCAGAGGCGAUGAAGGGCGUGCUAAUCUGCGAUAAGCGCCGGUAAGGUGAUAUGAACCGUUAUAACCGGCGAUACCCGAAUGGGGAAACCCAGUGUGACUCGUCACACUAUCAUUAACUGAAUCCAUAGGUUAAUGAGGCGAACCGGGGGAACUGAAACAUCUAAGUACCCCGAGGAAAAGAAAUCAACCGAGAUUCCCCCAGUAGCGGCGAGCGAACGGGGAGGAGCCCAGAGCCUGAAUCAGCAUGUGUGUUAGUGGAAGCGUCUGGAAAGGCGCGCGAUACAGGGUGACAGCCCCGUACACAAAAGCGCAUGUGCUGUGAGCUCGAUGAGUAGGGCGGGACACGUGGUAUCCUGUCUGAAUAUGGGGGGACCAUCCUCCAAGGCUAAAUACUCCUGACUGACCGAUAGUGAACCAGUACCGUGAGGGAAAGGCGAAAAGAACCCCGGCGAGGGGAGUGAAAAAGAACCUGAAACCGUGUACGUACAAGCAGUGGGAGCACCCUUUUGGGUGUGACUGCGUACCUUUUGUAUAAUGGGUCAGCGACUUAUAUUCUGUAGCAAGGUUAACCGUAUAGGGGAGCCGCAGGGAAACCGAGUCUUAACCGGGCGUUAAGUUGCAGGGUAUAGACCCGAAACCCGGUGAUCUAGCCAUGGGCAGGUUGAAGGUUGGGUAACACUAACUGGAGGACCGAACCGACUAAUGUUGAAAAAUUAGCGGAUGACCUGUGGCU
This 782-nucleotide ribosomal RNA is filed under the name Salmonella enterica subsp. enterica serovar Cerro. Its description in RNAcentral is "partial 23S ribosomal RNA". It matches the Rfam family "Bacterial large subunit ribosomal RNA", at positions 1 to 816 of the family's 2925-position model. The record is from RNAcentral. Lineage: Bacteria; Pseudomonadati; Pseudomonadota; Gammaproteobacteria; Enterobacterales; Enterobacteriaceae.